AACGUAGGAGGCGAGCGUUAUCCGGAUUUACUGGGCGUAAAGCGCGUGCAGGUGGUUUGGUAAGUUGGAUGUGAAAGCUCCUGGCUUAACUGGGAGAGGUCGUUCAAUACUACUAAACUUGAGUGUGGGAGAGGGAGGUGGAAUUCCGGGUGUAGUGGUGAAAUGCGUAGAUAUCCGGAGGAACACCAGUGGCGAAAGCGGCCUCCUGGCCCAUUACUGACACUCAGACGCGAAAGCUAGGGGAGCGAACGGG
RNAcentral lists this ribosomal RNA (253 nucleotides) under uncultured bacterium. Its description in RNAcentral is "partial 16S ribosomal RNA". It matches the Rfam family "Bacterial small subunit ribosomal RNA", at positions 524 to 776 of the family's 1533-position model. The record is from RNAcentral.